Molecule: ribosomal RNA, 1446 nt
Filed under: uncultured marine cyanobacterium
Lineage: Bacteria; Bacillati; Cyanobacteriota
Description: bacterial SSU rRNA
Rfam family: Bacterial small subunit ribosomal RNA
Source: RNAcentral
GAGUUUGAUCAUGGCUCAGGAUGAACGCUGGCGGCGUGCUUAACACAUGCAAGUCGAACGAACCUUCGGGUUAGUGGCGGACGGGUGAGUAACGCGUGAGAAUCUGCCCUCAGGAGGGGGAUAACAGCUGGAAACGGCUGCUAAUACCCCAUAUGCCGCGAGGUGAAAUGAAUUUCGCCUGAGGAUGAGCUCGCGUCUGAUUAGCUAGUUGGUGUAGGUAAUGGCUCACCAAGGCAUCGAUCAGUAGCUGGUCUGAGAGGAUGAUCAGCCACACUGGGACUGAGACACGGCCCAGACUCCUACGGGAGGCAGCAGUGGGGAAUUUUCCGCAAUGGGCGAAAGCCUGACGGAGCAACGCCGCGUGAGGGAUGAAGGCCUCUGGGCUGUAAACCUCUUUUAUCAAGGAAGAAGAUCUGACGGUACUUGAUGAAUAAGCCACGGCUAAUUCCGUGCCAGCAGCCGCGGUAAUACGGGAGUGGCAAGCGUUAUCCGGAAUUAUUGGGCGUAAAGCGUCCGCAGGCGGCCCUUCAAGUCUGCUGUUAAAAAGUGGAGCUUAACUCCAUCAUGGCAGUGGAAACUGAGGGGCUUGAGUGUGGUAGGGGCAGAGGGAAUUCCCGGUGUAGCGGUGAAAUGCGUAGAUAUCGGGAAGAACACCAGUGGCGAAGGCGCUCUGCUGGGCCAUCACUGACGCUCAUGGACGAAAGCCAGGGGAGCGAAAGGGAUUAGAUACCCCUGUAGUCCUGGCCGUAAACGAUGAACACUAGGUGUCGGGGGAAUCGACCCCCUCGGUGUCGUAGCCAACGCGUUAAGUGUUCCGCCUGGGGAGUACGCACGCAAGUGUGAAACUCAAAGGAAUUGACGGGGGCCCGCACAAGCGGUGGAGUAUGUGGUUUAAUUCGAUGCAACGCGAAGAACCUUACCAGGGUUUGACAUCCUGCGAAUCUUUUGGAAACGAGAGAGUGCCUUCGGGAGCGCAGUGACAGGUGGUGCAUGGCUGUCGUCAGCUCGUGUCGUGAGAUGUUGGGUUAAGUCCCGCAACGAGCGCAACCCACGUCUUUAGUUGCCAGCAUUUAGUUGGGCACUCUAGAGAGACCGCCGGUGAUAAACCGGAGGAAGGUGUGGAUAACGUCAAGUCAUCAUGCCCCUUACAUCCUGGGCUACACACGUACUACAAUGCUACGGACAAAGGGCAGCAAGUUCGCGAGGACAAGCAAAUCCCAUAAACCGUGGCUCAGUUCAGAUCGUAGGCUGCAACUCGCCUACGUGAAGGAGGAAUCGCUAGUAAUCGCAGGUCAGCAUACUGCGGUGAAUACGUUCCCGGGCCUUGUACACACCGCCCGUCACACCAUGGAAGUUGGCCACGCCCGAAGCCGUUACUCCAACCCUUGUGGAGGAGGACGUCGAAGGUGGGGCUGAUGACUGGGGUGAAGUCGUAACAAGGUAACC